CAAAACUUUUACAAGUAGGCCUUGCUAAAUUCCCUGUGUAUGUAAGUUACAAUAACUUGUAAUAUAUUCAGUCCAAAACAAAACACUAAGACGAACACAAAAUUUAUUUAAAACGAAGUCUCGAUUUCAUAUAAAAGGCACGCGAUUAAAACUGGCAUCUAAAAGGUGGAAAACUCACCUUCUACCCAGAAAACUAAUGCUACCACCUAAUAGAAAAGACUAAACUUUUGAUCUGUUGUUAUUGUAGUUUAUGGAAUAGCAUGCAUGCCAUAACUGGCACCAUUGCAGAGGCAAAUCCAAGACGAGUUGCCAUCAGGAUUGAAGCCUCGAGGAUCUUCAGUGCGAAACAGCUGUAGAGAUUGAGUAAUUCAAUGUUAGGCCAUAUAAAGAGCGAUUGGAAAGGACAUUUUGAUGGCGUUUAAAGGAUAAUUGUACAAGAACCUGGCCAAGGAUUGCCGCAAAUUCGAAUCUUUCAUUUGUCCAGAUUCGUAGACUUUUACACUGGCCUACGAUGUAUUACUCAACACUACACUGCAUAAUUGCAUAUCGGAUAGCAGAGAUUCAAUUUUUGAAAGGAAACACAAAAUGGCUUAAUGCACCUAGAAAGUGACAAUCCUCGCCUUUUACUCUCGCGGCUUUGACAUUAGAUUCUAAGUGACGGCAAAAGCUGCUCUUAAUCUUAUCAAAGAUUGAGAGUCGAAAGGCUGUUGUAACAAUGGUGGCACCAAGGAGAAGAAAGUUGCCUCAAAUCGACGCAUUCUGCGGACCACAGCCCAGCAAUGUCCCAGCAACAAGGUGUGUACAUGCAUUUGUACAUAACGAAAGCUAGUCGAGUCAGUUCCUAAAAGCUGACCUGAACGCCUUCACUCAGCCAUAACAUGGAGAUUGAUUAAAAUAGAGAUCUUUACCCGAGCUUACAACGUACACAGAGGUUAUCCAUACACUCACAGCUUGCGAACACAGAUUUAUGCUUACGAUAUAAAUUUAAUAAAGUAAGUAACCAACUCAAUUAAA
This is a long non-coding RNA of Drosophila montana, 1014 nucleotides long. RefSeq lists it as uncharacterized. The transcript is spliced from 3 exons. The record is from RefSeq and is a predicted model, not a curated record. Lineage: Eukaryota; Metazoa; Arthropoda; Insecta; Diptera; Drosophilidae.